CAAUAGCGUAUAUUAAAGUUGUUGCGGUUAAAAAGCUCGUAGUUGGAUUUCUGUUGGGAACGACCGGUCCGCCCAUUGGGUGUGUAUCUGGCUUGUUCUCGGCAUCUUCUUGGUGAACGUUGCUGCACUUGACUGUGUGGAGCGCUACCCAGGACUUUUACUUUGAGGAAAUUAGAGUGUUUCAAGCAGGCAUAUGCCUUGAAUACAUUAGCAUGGAAUAAUAAGAUAGGACCUCGGUUCUAUUUUGUUGGUUUCUAGAGCUGAGGUAAUGAUUAAUAGGGAUAGUUGGGGGCAUUCGUAUUUAACUGUCAGAGGUGAAAUUCUUGGAUUUGUUGAAGACGGACUACUGCGAAAGCAUUUGCCAAGGAUGUUUUCAUUGA
RNAcentral lists this ribosomal RNA (380 nucleotides) under uncultured eukaryote. Its description in RNAcentral is "partial 18S ribosomal RNA". It matches the Rfam family "Eukaryotic small subunit ribosomal RNA", at positions 592 to 976 of the family's 1831-position model. The record is from RNAcentral.